Equus asinus (donkey) is the source of this 3243-nucleotide long non-coding RNA. The record is from Ensembl. NCBI's taxonomy places the organism in Eukaryota, Metazoa, Chordata, Mammalia, Perissodactyla, Equidae.
AAAGUCACCUUUUAGUGAAUAAAAACAGUGAGGAUAUCCCAGCUUGCACGUCCCCUUCUCUAAGGCCUGUGUAAUAGUUGAUGGACGAAGAGGCAAGACUGGAGGCAGGCAAAGUUCCAGAUGAAGCUACACUGUCAGCCUGAGCCCCGGAGUGAAGAUGAUUGACACGGAGCGGAGCCUCAGCUGAACCACGAUAGACGUGUACAAUGAACCAGAGGGGAAACCAACAGCGUGGGAUCAGGAAAAAAUGGACAGUAAGAGAAAGAAGUAAAGAGAGAAGGCCCCAGAAGUGAUGUUGUAAAAGCUCCAACCCGAGGCCUCUCAUGCUGGGAAUCCUGAUGGAGAAAGAAAAUCCAGGUGGAGAGAGGCCCCAGCUGUCUCUGCCUUCCCAAACAUCUCAAUAGAGGCCCAGACCUGUGGGUGAACCCAGACGAGAGCAGGUAGGCCCAGCCCGAAUUACCAAGUCAUAGCAUAGUGAGUUAAAUAAUGGUUUUUGUUUUAAGCCUCUACCUUUUAGUGGGUUUUAUUUUCCAGCCAUAGAUAACAGACACAAAUAGGAACAAGGUCACGAGCUGAGUGUGGAAAGGGGAGGAUGUCUGGAGUUUGAAGAAAAGCAUGAAAUGGAGAUGGUUUGAGAUGGUAUAUGUGUGAGCGUCUUAGGGAAAUACAGCAGGGCUGAUGGAGACCGAUAGGAAUUCAUCUCAGCUGAAUGAACUUAAAGUAGUUUAAAGUAAGGCCAGUCAGAAUGGUUGUAUUGUCUCCAGUAACCUUCCACCUGUGCAGGCAAUGAGUAAGCGCAGUUGGAUUUACCCAGGUUGGAGUGGCGUUUUGGCAGCUUCCUUUUUCAACUGCCAUGUGGACCUCAAGUUCUGGCAUCGGACAUGAAGAUAACAGCCUUACAGACAUUCUCGGGUUUCAAUUCAUUUUUGGCUAACGACCACAGGAAGAGCAGAGCAUAAUGUGUCUUUCUUGUUUAUUUGACGUGACUUGUGACGGGAGCAUAUGGCUGGAUUCGGGGCCGAUCCUUGGUCAGUAUCAUCCCAUAUGGGCAUACUGCUUAUGACCAGUGAAGUCCUGAUUGGCUGGCAGAUCCAUUCCGAUGGGUCAGUUCCUGUACUGUACCAGUGAUCAAAUAUUUGGAAUAUCAUCCCUAGCUGGAUUUCAUGUAUUAAUGCAAUAUGACAACUUUUGACAUUUAACUAGAGAGCUGGCGUCCAAAUGUCAGUCCAUUUAUGUUUGUUCUGAUUAAUGACUUGAUUUCUUUCCGCCGUUUUGUUGUGUGGUUUCUGUUGAUCUCAAUCUUCUUUUUUCUUCCUUUAUUUUUGCCCAGUUGAUUUUUUCCCCCUUAAUCUCAUUCCACAUUUUUGCUGCUGCUUGUUAGGAACUUAUAUAUUUUAUGUCUAUUUUAAGUUUGUUUUCCAUAAUUAUUUUAACGUGCAUCUUUAACAAAACCUAAUUUAAUCAAUGUUUACCUUCCUCCUAAAUCAAGGGCCCUAAAAGGCUCUGUCUCCCCUUCCCUACACUGCACUAUUUCCCCCAAUAUUUUAGUUCUAUCCUGACCCACUCCCCUAGAAUUGGAUAUUAUUAUUAUUGCUUUAUACGGCCAAUAGUAGUUUAGCUUACUGUAUAUUUACCAAUUUUUUUUUGCUUAUCAUUCCUCUCUACACUUGAAAUGUUCCCUCUGGGAUCAUUUUCCUUCUUCAUGAAGAAAUUCUUUCAGUUAGAAUCUGUUGGUGAUAAACUCUCAGUUUUUAUUUAUCUGAAAAUGUCUUUGUUUUCAUGCUCAAGGAUUAAUUUCAUUGGUUAUGGAAUUCUAGGUUGACACUUUUUAUAUUAGCACAUUAAGAUAAAAUUUUCCUGCUUUAUGUCUUUUAUUAUUUUAGAUAAGUCAGCCAUCAGUCUAUGGUAUUAUUUAGAAGAUGGCCUUUUUUUCCCUAUCUGACCACUUUUAAGAUCUUUUCUUUUUUCUUUAUUGCUCUUCAGUUUCACUAUUGUGUAUCCAGGUAUAGAUUCCAUUUUAAUUUACUGUUUUUGGCAUUUAUUCUUAACAUGAGGAUUUGUAUUUAUAAAGAGUCCUAUAAAAUUAUCAGCCAACAUCUUUAUAUAUUGACUUUUUUUCAAUAUCUAUUUACUUUUUUUGAAACUCCAGUUAAAUGAAGUUUAGAAUGUUCUAGUUUAUUCAUCCUGUCUCUUAAUAUCUUUUGCGUUUUCUCUAUCCUGUCUUUGAGCUAAUUUCUGUGUUAUAGCUUCAGAUUUCUUUUCUAGUUCACUGUGGUCUUCUUAAUGUGUCUAAUUUGUUUAAUCCAUUCAUUGAGCUUUAAAUUUUAAUAUCUUUUAUUUCUAGGGUUCUUUUUUGUUUCUCUAAAAAUCUGCUUGGGUAUUCUUUAUGGUCUCUUAUUCCUUUUGCAUGUCAACAGGAUCUUUUGUAUUUUUUUUUAACAUAUUAAAUAUGGUUUUAUUUAUUUUUAAAAACUUUAAUUUUAUUUUUUUUAGUGAGGAAGAUUGGCCCUGAGCUAACAUCUGUGCAAAUCUUCCUCUAUUUUGUAUGUGGGAUGCCACCACAACACAGCUUGAUGAACAGUAUGUAGGUCCGCGCCCAGGAUCUAAAGCUGUGAACCCUGGGCCGCCAAAGCAGAGUGGGCGAACUUAACCACUACGCCACUGGGCCAGGCCCUAAAUAUGGUUUUAUGUUCUGAGAUUUUUGCUGGUCUGAUUUUUGCUGAUUGUUUCAGUAGACUGUUCUGGUGCUUCAUUUCCUUAUUUAUGUUGUGACUUUUGUCUGUGAGCUGCUUAUUUUUCUCGGAUGUUUCUGGAAUAAUGCUUUGAGGCAUGGGGCUGAGAUUCAGUGCUCCAGAGAGAAUUUGCAUUUACUCCUGUCAGUCAAUUGGAGCCAUUACCUACCUGUGAUCACUUUCAGCUAAACUCUCUGAAAUAUUUUGGACUACACAAAUAGAAUGAAUUUAAGCUGCCAACCAUUGUGAAGACCAAUACACCUCAAAGGAGAUUUAUUCUCCUUUUACUCAAUGAAAUAGCAUAUUUCCUCUGAUACCUUGUGGUAGCCUGAAUAAUUCCCCUCUUCCCCCAAAUGUCCAUGUUGUGAUUCCUGGGACCUUUUAAUGUCAGCUUGUGUGGCAGAAGGGGCUUCGUGGAUGUGAUCUUGUUAAGGAUAUUUAGAUGAGGAGAUUAUGCUGGGUUAUCCGGGUGACUCCAGUGUCAUCACAAAGGUCUUUACAAGAGGGACAC